CGGGCACCGACGAGGCGCCGCCCAAGGGCAAAGGGAAGGGAGAGGACGCAUGGCAGGUCCGUUCGCUCACGGAUUUUCUCAAGCUUCCAUUGGACCAAGGUGGUGGUGAAGGAAAGGCUCUGUACAUUGAUGAAGAGGGGACAUUCAGACCACAGAGGCUCCUCCAGAUAGCAGACAGGUUUGGAUUAAAUGAUGCUGAUGUAUUAGAGAAUGUGGCUUAUGCAAGAGCU
Molecule: long non-coding RNA, 230 nt
Organism: Lolium rigidum
Lineage: Eukaryota; Viridiplantae; Streptophyta; Magnoliopsida; Poales; Poaceae
Exons: 3
Source: RefSeq, a predicted model, not a curated record